AACACAACCAAAUCCACACUCGUCGCUGGCUUUCCCUGCCCUGCUGUGGAGCACAUGAACCCGGGGACGCAUUCGGCUUUCCUUUGAUAGGGGAAGGCAGCCCAAACAGCACCCAGACCAAGAGCCUGGAUCAGGGAUCCUGCUGCCUGAGACUUUCUAACUAGGCCAAGAAAUGAGGACACUGAACUACUUCUUCUUGAGAUGACGGAAUCUUGACCAGACCAGAGGGAGUGAGGUCUAUCUAUCCCACGAAGAAACUGAGAUGCAGCUUAUGAAAUAGAGGCUGACAAUGGCUCACCCACCUCCUUUGUAAGAGCCUGGUGUGUGCUACAGGAGCAUGGCCCAUAUACGUGUCAGGUUGAAGGACAACUCAGGAGCUGUCCAAGGCUCAACUUGGCCCCACUUGCCCCAUCUGGCAGCCUGGACCGAGCAUUGUUCAUUGAGUCCCACACCCACAUGGCCCCAGAGUCAAACCGCCUUUCAUGCUGAAGAAUGGAACUGAC
RNAcentral lists this long non-coding RNA (503 nucleotides) under Homo sapiens (human). RNAcentral describes it as "non-protein coding lnc-TLE3-1:1". Lineage: Eukaryota; Metazoa; Chordata; Mammalia; Primates; Hominidae. The record is from RNAcentral.